RNAcentral lists this long non-coding RNA (2075 nucleotides) under Equus caballus (horse). RNAcentral describes it as "lncRNA (ENSECAG00000050913.1)". The record is from RNAcentral. Lineage: Eukaryota; Metazoa; Chordata; Mammalia; Perissodactyla; Equidae.
UGCCCCCAGCUCUGCCACCCCCUCAAGCUCCUACACCGGCUCCCUUCCCUUCAGGACUCGACUUCCACAAGAGUCACACACGCGUGUCCACUUCCUCUUCACCCACGUGCCUGUGAGAGCCUCCUCGCACACACGCCUGCAAUCCCGAGCAGCGGGUCCGCCUGCAGCGCUCUAACGACACGAGCCUUCCACCAGCGAGGACCUGAAGCAGAAAGCAAGUGCCUGUUCCCUGCACUGGUCCUCCUCUGCACCUCGCUCUCUGAAGCGCACACUCUCCUCCUCGAAACUCCACCUUCCAGCGGGUUCGGCGUCAGGGGAAGCUUCUGGCUCUGCCUCUCUGUCCUCGCUGAUUUCUCCUCUAGUUUCUAGGAGUGGGCUAGGCAGGGACAGCCGCAAGAUACCCUAAACCUUCAGGAUGUCCUAACUUGGCAAAUGCCGGAACACCUGCAGAGGUUCGGAGCUUCCUCCUGAGUCGUGUUGGAGGCAGGGGCCCGUCUCCUGUGUUUCAGUCACUGCCACCAGGUAAGCGCUUCGAUAACUUUUGCUAAAGCGUAACUCUCACUUGAUGACCAUUUUCUACAAAGAAGUAAAUCACCUAAAUGAGAAUUACCGCCUCUACCACGAUGAGGAAGAAAAACUCAGGAUGCCGGGCAACUUGGUAGAUUCACGCCGAGCCAGGGGGCUCACUCCCGCAGCAGCCGGCCCGGUCACGCCUCGAAAGAUCUGCGAGCGCCAUGCCGUUAACUCUCAGCCUCUUCAAAACAUACAGACUCCAAGCGCCGCACCAGACACGCGAACGUCAGGGCAUCCUCCCGCUCCAGCAGCGCAGGCUCUCCGCGGCCUUCUCUUUCACCUCGAGGAUGCGACCGUCACUCCCAGGUGGACGGGGCUUCCUCUGGCACCCUGGGCUCUGUCCUCCGAUCCCGACACCAUCACGCCCACACUCUGUCGGGUGCCUCAGACUCAUAUGCCUGACACUAAUCAAUCGUCCCCAGCCCCACCUCCUCCUGCGGUUCUGAGUUGAGUCAAGGACGUGACGGGAACCUCCAAGGUACCAGAACCUAACCUUCAGGAUGAUGCUGUCCUCUGCCCUCCGGCCUGCUCCGAAGCUCCAGGCUCCCUGAGCUCAGGCCAGGCAGUGUGUUCAGUUGGCUGCCCCUGUGGCCUGCAUGUGUUCCUGUACACACACGGCAGGGGCUGGAGCGUGUCUGUGAGUGCGUGAGCUCCCCGUACACACACAGCAGGUGCUGGAGCGUGUCUGUGAGCACGUGAGCACCCUGUACACAUAUGGCACGUGCCAGAGUGCGCCUGUGAGCAUGUGAGCGCCCUGUACACACACGGCAGGUGCUGGAGUGCGUCUGUGAGGGUGUGAGCGCCCUAUACACAUACGACAGGCGCUUGAACAUGUCUGAGCACCCCGUACACACACAGCAGGUGCCAGAGCACGUCUGUGAGCACGUGAGCACCCUGCACACACAUGGCAGGUGCUGGAGUGUGUCUGUGAGCGCGUGAGCACCCUGUACACACAUGGCACGUGCCAGAGUGCGCCUGUGAGCAUGUGAGCGCCCUGUACACACACGGCAGGUGCCGGAGCAUGUCUGUGAGCACGUGAGUGCCCUGUACACACACGGCAGGUGCUGGAGCGUGUCUGUGAGCGCAUGAGUGCCCUGUACACACAUGGCAGGUGCCGGAGCAUGUCUGUGAGCACGUGAAUCCCCUGGACACACAUGGCAGAUGCCGGAGCAUGUCUGUGAGCGCCCCGGACACACACAGCAGGUGCUGGAGAUUGUCUGUGAGGGUGUGAGCGCCCUGUACACACACAGCAGGUGCUGGAGUGCGUCUGUGAGUGUGCGAGCACCCUGUACACACACGGCAGGUGCUGGAGAGUGUCUGUGAGCGCAUGCGUGGCCCGUACACACACGGCAGGUGCCAGAGCACGUCUGUGAGCACGUGAGUGGCCUGUACACACACGGCAGAUGCCGGAGCACGUCUGUGAGCGCCCCGUACACACACAGCAGGUGCUGGAGUAUGUCUGUGAACGCGUGAGUGCCGGUACCCGUGGUGAAGGGACACCC